UCCUCUUUCUUUGCUUCCCUGCAUAUGUUUAUGGUUCUUAGAGUCCUAUAUUUAGAUCUCUUUCCUUCUCAUAAUUUCAUUUUCCCCAUAUGUCUUACAGUAUCAUAUAUUAACCAGUGUGGUAAGCUGAAUAAUGGCCUCCAAAAACAUCAGGUCCUAAUUUCCGGAACCUGUAGAUGUUACCUUAUUUGGAAAAAGGAUCUUUGUGGGCAUGAUUAAGAUAAUGGUUUUGAGAUGAGGAGAUUAUCCUAGAUUAUGCUGGAUUAUCCAGAUGGGCCCUAAAAGCCAUCACUAGUGUCUCUGUUAGAAAGAGGAAGAUGGAGAUUUCUUACAGAUAACAGAGAAAAAGAUAAUGUGAGAUAGAGAUUGGAAUGAUGAGGUCACAAUACAAGAAAUGUUGCAGCCAUCAGAAGCCAGAAAAGGCAAGGGAUAGAUUCUCCCCUAGAGUCUCUGUAAGGAGCAUGGCCUCCUGACACCAUGACUGGCUCACUGGUACUGAUUUUGGACUUGUGGCCUCCAGAACUGUGACUUCUUCCAGCUCCAUGUAUCUGAAGAUAUCUUCAUCUGACGAAUCCCCUCUUUCUGCCUCCACUGUUACCACCAUGGCUUCUCUGAUCAGUGCCCAGAGCGGUAUUUCCAGUGCUUAGCAGUGUAUAAGAUGCCUGUGUCACUUCUGAGUAUGCUGACCUCCUC
Non-coding RNA from Callorhinus ursinus (northern fur seal), 693 nucleotides. The record is from RefSeq and is a predicted model, not a curated record. NCBI's taxonomy places the organism in Eukaryota, Metazoa, Chordata, Mammalia, Carnivora, Otariidae.